CAGUAGCCACGGUAAUACGUAGGGUGCAAGCGUUAAUCGGAAUUACUGGGCGUAAAGCGUGCGCAGGCGGUUAUAUAAGUCAGAUGUGAAAUCCCCGGGCUCAACCUGGGAACUGCAUUUGAGACUGUAUGGCUAGAGUGUGUCAGAGGGGGGUAGAGUUCCACGUGUAGCAGUGAAAUGCGUAGAUAUGUGGAGGAAUACCGAUGGCGAAGGCAGCCCCCUGGGAUAACACUGACGCUCAUGCACGAAAGCGUGGGAAGCAAACAGGAUUAGAUACCCGCGUAGUCCCUGUCUCUUAUAC
This 301-nucleotide ribosomal RNA is filed under the name uncultured bacterium. RNAcentral's name for it is "partial 16S ribosomal RNA". It matches the Rfam family "Bacterial small subunit ribosomal RNA", at positions 509 to 807 of the family's 1533-position model. The record is from RNAcentral.